Molecule: transfer RNA, 70 nt
Filed under: Oligoryzomys stramineus
Lineage: Eukaryota; Metazoa; Chordata; Mammalia; Rodentia; Cricetidae
Description: tRNA-His
Rfam family: tRNA
About the family: Transfer RNA (tRNA) molecules are approximately 80 nucleotides in length. Their secondary structure includes four short double-helical elements and three loops (D, anti-codon, and T loops).
Source: RNAcentral
GUAAACAUAGUUUAUAACAAAACCUUAGACUGUGAAUCUAAUAAUAAGAGACUAUACCUCUUUGUUUACC